GUACUUGUACUGAUUGAGAUUUUAACACGAAGUGAGUGGCGAACGGGUGAGUAACACGUGGGUAACCUGCCCAGAAGUAGGGGAUAACACCUGGAAACAGAUGCUAAUACCGUAUAACAGAGAAAACCGCAUGGUUUUCUUUUAAAAGAUGGCUCUGCUAUCACUUCUGGAUGGACCCGCGGCGUAUUAGCUAGUUGGUGAGGUAAAGGCUCACCAAGGCAGUGAUACGUAGCCGACCUGAGAGGGUAAUCGGCCACAUUGGGACUGAGACACGGCCCAGACUCCUACGGGAGGCAGCAGUAGGGAAUCUUCCACAAUGGACGCAAGUCUGAUGGAGCAACGCCGCGUGAGUGAAGAAGGGUUUCGGCUCGUAAAGCUCUGUUGUUAAAGAAGAACGUGGGUAAGAGUAACUGUUUACCCAGUGACGGUAUUUAACCAGAAAGCCACGGCUAACUACGUGCCAGCAGCCGCGGUAAUACGUAGGUGGCAAGCGUUAUCCGGAUUUAUUGGGCGUAAAGCGAGCGCAGGCGGUCUUUUAAGUCUAAUGUGAAAGCCUUCGGCUCAACCGAAGAAGUGCAUUGGAAACUGGGAGACUUGAUUGCAAAAGAGGACAGUGGAACUCCAUGGGUGUAGCGGUGAAAUGCGUAGAUAUAUGGAAGAACACCAGUGGCGAAGGCGGCUGUUUCUGGUGCUGCAACUGACGCUGAGGCUCGAAAGCAUGGGUUAAGCGAACAGGAUAAGAUACCCUGGUAGUCCAUGCCGGUAAACGCAAUGAUUACUGAGAAAGUGUUGGAGGGUUUCCGCCCCUUCAGUGCUGCAGCCUAACGCAUUAAGUAAUC
RNAcentral lists this ribosomal RNA (839 nucleotides) under Pediococcus pentosaceus. Its description in RNAcentral is "bacterial SSU rRNA". It matches the Rfam family "Bacterial small subunit ribosomal RNA", at positions 64 to 869 of the family's 1533-position model. The record is from RNAcentral. Lineage: Bacteria; Bacillati; Bacillota; Bacilli; Lactobacillales; Lactobacillaceae.